Molecule: long non-coding RNA, 363 nt
Filed under: Ficedula albicollis (Collared flycatcher)
Lineage: Eukaryota; Metazoa; Chordata; Aves; Passeriformes; Muscicapidae
Description: lncRNA (ENSFALG00000023918.1)
Source: RNAcentral
UCUGAAGACUUACAGCCUUCCUGGGCUGCCAAGGUCCAAGGAUGCCCUCUUACCUUGUCUUUUAUCCUUUCUAGGAAGCAUCUAAAGGAAAACUGGAAACUGCAGUGGUACAUGAACAAUUCACAGGGCUACUGAAGCACAAAGCUGUUAAAAAUGUGAGUUCCCACUGGCAUUGUAGAAAAAUCCAUUUCACAUUUUUAAGGUGGGGUACAAUUUCCAAGGCACUGCCACAUGUUUGCUUUUGAUGCAUGAAGCCUAAGGAGCAGUCUCCUUUUCUGAUGUGAGAACAUGGACUUGCCAUUGGAAACCCUGGAUCUCAGUCAAAGGUGAGAGGAAUCAGGAAUUUCAGAGUCACUACAAUGC